CGUGAUGAUACAACUUGAACAAAUAAAUUAAUAGAUUCACAAGAUCACUAUGACACCUACGAAAGCAGACCAGGUUAGCCCCGUCCAGUCAGUGACCUAUUAGGGUCACUCUGAAAUCAAGUAAGGUAUGGCAUACGAGACAAUAUACAGAGAGAAAUUUUAAUGCAUGAUUUCAUACCUUAAUCCCUAGAUAUGUGGAUCUUGAUACAAGUGAAAUUUAUUUAUGGCCAAGACAUCCCAUUCGCGCGGUCUAUAUAAUCAAAACCAAUGGUCAAGCUAGUCAUUUCUAAGCAAGACCAAAAAGAGUAAAUACAAGCAAUGUUCCUUGUACCUUAAAAGUAACCUAGUUAAAAUUAAUCAAGUACAACAUUACAACACAUCUAAUUAUCUCGUGAGAAAGGAGAAGUUGGUUGGAUCCACUAUAAGUUCGAGUUAACAGCCCAGCCUCUGAUACUAAACAUAAUUAUGGUACUAAAGAAAAAAAAUAUAGAAUAAUUAAUGCAAUAGUUUCAUAUCUUAAAACUUUGGGGUGUGGAUUUUUGGUAGGAGGGGUUUUAGAUGGGGAAAAAGGAUUCAAUUGGAUGGUCCAUCCAAUAAAAUAUGAUGGUCAAUAUAGUCAACCUUGCACAAAAUAAAGCAAGUGGAUAAAAAAAGAUUUUUGUUGCACAAUACAACUACAAUACUACCAACAUUGGUAGUGAUCAUAUAUAUAGUGUGAGCAAAUCACACCCCGCUUAAAUCAUGAUCGAAACCCGACGGAGAAUAGGAGAUAAAUAUGUAAAAUUUAAUGUAUUGUUCCAUACCUUAAUAUUUGGAGAUGUGGAGAUUAACAUUAGAGAGUUUAGCAUCCUAUUAAGGUGGUCUAUCCAAUCAAGUCCGCUAAUCAAUCAUGUUGGUCUUCGCAAAAUCAAACAAGUGUAAAAACAUUAAAACACCUAACACAAAAAUGCAAAGUAACAUCGAAUUAUAAAAUAAGAUAAUCAUAGUAUUCGUGGGUCUAAUAAAUCAUAUUAGCCUACGUGAUAAUAGAACCUGAAUAAAUAAACUAAUAGGUCCACCACGAUCACUGUGACACCGACGAAAAAGGACCAGGUUAGCACCCCGAGCCAAUGACUAGUUGGGGGUACUCCAAAAUCAAAAAUAUAUGGCCUACGAGACGAUAUACAUAGUGAGAGAAAUUUUAAUGCAUAACCCUUAGAGGUGUGGAUUUUGAUAAAAGAGGAAUUUACUUACGGCCAAGGCAUUCCGUUCGCGCGGUCAAUCCAAUCAAAGCCAAUGGUCAAUCUAGUCAUUCCUAAGCAAGAUCAAAAAAGUGAAUAUAGUCAAUGUUCCUCGUACCCUAAUACUAAUUAACCUAGUUAAAAAUAAUCAAGUACAACAUUACAACAUAUCUAAUUACCUCGUGAGAAAGGAGAAGGUCAUUGGAUCCACUAUUAGAUCAAGACCUACAGAAAUGAAUGGGGGUUACAACCCAACCUCCGACAUUAAACAUAGUUAAGGCAGUAAAAAAAAUAUAGAAAAUUUAAUACAAUAGUUUCAUACCUUAAAAGUUCGGGGUGUGAAUUUUUAGUAGGAGGGUUUUAGAUGGGGCAAAAGGAUCCAAUCAUAUGGUCCAUCCACUAAAUUUCAAUGGUCAAUACAGCCAAACUCACACAAAAUAAAAUCAGUGGAUAGAAAAAGAUUUAUGGUGCACAAAUACAAAUACUCGUGAUUAGAAAUACUACGAACAUUGGUAGUGAUCAUAUAUAUAUAGUGUGAAUAAAUCGCACCCACUUAAAUCAUAAUCGAAAAAAAAUCUAAUGCAUUGUUCCAUACCUUAAUAUUCGUUGAUGUGAAGAUUUACAUUAGAGAGCUUGGCAUCAUAUUAAAGGUGGUCUAUCCAAUCAAGUCCGCUAGCCAUUCGUGUUGGUCCUCGCAAAACAAAACAAGUGCAAAAAAAUUAAAACACCUUACACAAAAAUACAAAGCAACAUCGAAGUAUAAUAUAAGGUAAUCGUAGUAUUCGUAAGUCUAAUAAAUCAUAUCUAUUUAUGUGAUAAUAGAACCUAAACAAAUUUACUAAUAGAUCCACCAUGAUCACUGUGACACUUACUAAAGAAGACCAGGUUAACACCCUAGGCCCAUGACUAGUCAGUAGUACUCCAAAAUCAAGUUAAGUAUGGCCUACAAGACGAUAUACAUAGACAGAUAAAUUUUAAUGCAUGAUUUUGAUCUGGAUACAAGAGGAAUUUACUUAUGACCAAGGCAUCCCAUUCUCGCGGUCUUUUCAAUCAAAUCUGAUGGUCAAUCUAGUCGUUCCUAAGCAAGACCAUAAAAGUGAAUAUAGGCAAUGUUUUUUGUACCCAAAUACGAAGUAACCUAAUUAAAAUUAAUCAAGUGCAACAUUACAACAUAUCUAAUUACCUCGUGAGAAAGGAGAAGUUGGUUGAAUCCACUAGGAGUUCGAGACCUACAUAAAUGAACAAGGUUACCGCCCAGUCUCUGAUACUCAACUUAGUUAUGGCACUGAAGAAAAAAAAUAUAAAAAAAUUAAUACAAUAAUUUCCUACCUUAAAACUUCGGGAGUAAGAUUUUUAGUAGGAGGAUUUUAUAUGGGACAAAAAGGUUACAAUCGGAUGAUCCAUCCAAUAAAGUUCAAUGGUCAAUAUAGUCAAUCUUGCACAAAACAAAGCAAAUGGAUAAAAUAAAAUUUAUCGUUCACAAAGACAAAUACACGUAACUAGAAAUACUACGAACAUAGGUAGUGAUCAUAUAUAUAAUUGAGCAAAUCGCACCAGCUUAAAUCAUAAUUGAACCCCGAUUGAGAAUACGUGAUAUAUAUAGAAAUUUAAAUGCAUUGUUCCCAUACCUUAUUAUUAGAUGUUGAGAUUUACAUUGGAGAGUUUGGCAUCCUAUUAAGGUGGUCUAUCCAAUCAAGUCCGCUAUUCAAUCAUUUUCGUCCUCACAAAACCAAACAGUGAAAAAAAAUUAAAAUACCUUACACAAAAAUACAAAGCAACAUCGAAGUAUAGCAUAAGCUAAUCGUACUAUUCGUAGGUCUAAUAAAUUUUACUCGCUUACAUGAUGAUAGAACAUGAAGAAAUAAACUAAUAAUGUCACACCCCCAACCUAAUUAAAUAUAAUUAAUAUUAAUUAGAUGGGAUGUGAUUGCACAAGACACCAUGCCUGCGAACGACUCCUGUUAUCCACCGCAUACUCAACAGAUAAAGAGUACCUUAUUACUCAUUCAUUGAUAAUUUAAAACCAAAUUGCACAAGACGACAUAAACACCCAUUUACUAUUGGUUUAAAGCCAACACCAUACGACAAACAUAUAUACGUAUUUUGAACAGAAACAAACUAUUUUGUUUUUAAACAUAAAAUAUAGACAUUUACACAACCAUUACAAAACUAGAUGAUAUUGUCCAAAGGCAAGAACUAUUCUAAAUUCUGCCAGUGACAACCAAUCACGAUUAGGAAGGACUCCAUGUCUUGGACCAUGACCACAAUGAACCAGAUAGCUAUCCACACCUCCUCACCAAUCAAAAAGGUCAGUGUGGGUGUGAGCGAAUAAUCAACAUGCUCACAAUAGAUAAUCAUACUUACAAAGAAUGAUAGCCAUAAACAUCCACCAUAAAUAUCCAGAAAUGGAGUGCAUCAAUGCAGAAAUGCAUCACCC
Molecule: long non-coding RNA, 3657 nt
Filed under: Actinidia chinensis (golden kiwifruit)
Lineage: Eukaryota; Viridiplantae; Streptophyta; Magnoliopsida; Ericales; Actinidiaceae
Description: long non-coding RNA (ACHI_LNC007297)
Source: RNAcentral